This 447-nucleotide ribosomal RNA is filed under the name uncultured bacterium. RNAcentral's name for it is "partial 16S ribosomal RNA". It matches the Rfam family "Bacterial small subunit ribosomal RNA", at positions 29 to 523 of the family's 1533-position model. The record is from RNAcentral.
AACGAACGCUGGCGGCAGGCUUAACACAUGCAAGUCGAACGCCCCGCAAGGGGAGUGGCAGACGGGUGCGUAGCGCGUGGGAAUCUACCGUACCCUACGGAACAACAGUUGGAAACGACGGCUAAUACAGUAUACGCCCUACGGGGGAAAGAUUGAUCGGGGUAGGAUGUGCACGCGUGGGUUUAGCUAGUUGGUGGGGUAAAGGCCUACCAAGGCGACGAUCCAUAGCUGGUCUGAGAGGAUGAUCAGCCACAUUGGGACUGAGACACGGCCCAAACUCCUACGGGAGGCAGCAGUGGGGAAUAUUGGACAAUGGGCGCAAGCCUGAUCCAGCCAUGCCGCGUGAGUGAUGAAGGUCUUAGGAUUGUAAAGCUCUUUCACCGAUGAAGAUAAUGACGGUAGUCGGAGAAGAAGCCCCGGCUAACUUCGUGCCAGCAGCCGCGGUAA